UACGGAGGGUCCAAGCGUUAUCCGGAAUCAUUGGGUUUAAAGGGUCCGUAGGCGGUUUUGUAAGUCAGUGGUGAAAGCCCAUCGCUCAACGGUGGAACGGCCAUUGAUACUGCAAGACUUGAAUUAUUGUGAAGUAACUAGAAUAUGUAGUGUAGCGGUGAAAUGCUUAGAGAUUACAUGGAAUACCAAUUGCGAAGGCAGGUUACUACUAAUGGAUUGACGCUGAUGGACGAAAGCGUGGGUAGCGAACAGG
RNAcentral lists this ribosomal RNA (253 nucleotides) under uncultured bacterium. RNAcentral describes it as "partial 16S ribosomal RNA". It matches the Rfam family "Bacterial small subunit ribosomal RNA", at positions 524 to 776 of the family's 1533-position model. The record is from RNAcentral.